This 1233-nucleotide long non-coding RNA is filed under the name Cyanistes caeruleus (blue tit). RNAcentral describes it as "lncRNA (ENSCCEG00000022753.1)". Lineage: Eukaryota; Metazoa; Chordata; Aves; Passeriformes; Paridae. The record is from RNAcentral.
GACCUUUCCUCUCUAAGAUUCUGCCAUUUUUGGCAGCCUUCUGACAUAUACUCUAUUCAUUGCCUGCAUUUACUGGAUCUUAGCUGAACCGUUCUCAACUGCCCAUAUUUUGCCGUUACAUUCUUCAUCCUGCUAUCACCCAGCUCUGUAACUCUAUCUUGUGUAACAAAAUAUUCUCACUUGUGAAAAAGAAUGAUUCAAACAAUUUCAGAGGAUGUAACUAAACCACAUGUGGUUUACCAUUGAUCUUUACCAUAAAUCAGAAGAAUGAUGAAAACUGUGGAAAAAGAAAUAUUUUGGAACAGGCUGAAACACAGACACUGGGAAAUGAGGAAAAGGUGGAGCGUUCUCCCCUACUCAAAGCUGCAUCAGGUUUUUGAUGAUAAUUCAUCUACCACUGAUCAAUUUUUUGAAAAAAAUUGUCCAUCAAAGACCAAGCAUGUUUUUUUUUAAACAUAAGAUGUAUCCAAUUCUUAGGAAUACAGUGCACAAAAAAAUCUUCAGUACAAUAUAACUUCUCCAUAAAUAAUUUUACUGUAUGAAAUCAGAGCUUCUUAUUAUAUUUGGUCCUAUUCGUUUUGAUGUGCUGUGAUUUUCCUGCCGCAUGCUGUAGGUCAUGCUGUGGGAUUAGUAAUACAGCCAUUCUGCUACUGACUAGUAACUGACAGAAGCUGUUUUCAUAACCUUUCGUGAAGAUUGUGACAUCUAUAUUUUUAUUUCUGUUUUCCAGCUUAUCUUGACUUUUCAAAAUACUUGCAAGCUCCUUAUCAGUAGAGGUUCAAAACUUGUAGUAAGGAAUAAGUUCAUUUUUUUAGCUAGCAUGCUAUCAGUUCAGGAAAAGUCACUUAAAAACAUGAGCAAAAAAGUCUUAAUAUAUUUUAAUUGUAACCUUGAAAGAAAAAGGAACAUCAUCUGAAAUGAUCAAGACUAAUUAUUCAGGACUGUAGAGAUCAUUAGCAAAACUUCAGAGACAAGUUAGAUGAACUAGAUAAGCCUGACUGCUGGAUGGACUUCAGAAGAUCAUUGAGGGCAAGGUGCUUUGGCAGGCUGACCUUCAUCUGAAACACACAUGUACAUGUGCACUCACCAAACUGUGAAAUGUUUUGUACAGCAAUAACAUCCCAGUCUAUUUUGCUGUUCCUAAAUCAGAUCAUUGGACUUCACAGAGGAAAGUUUUCUUUAUGCUUUAACAAAACAAAUAAACAAAAAGUGUAGAUUAUUUUGUCUUGAUGU